AUUGAACGCUGGCGGCAGGCCUAACACAUGCAAGUCGAGCGGAUGAAGGGAGCUUGCUCCUGGAUUCAGCGGCGGACGGGUGAGUAAUGCCUAGGAAUCUGCCUGGUAGUGGGGGACAACGUUCCGAAAGGGGCGCUAAUACCGCAUACGUCCUACGGGAGAAAGUGGGGGAUCUUCGGACCUCACGCUAUCAGAUGAGCCUAGGUCGGAUUAGCUAGUUGGUGGGGUAAAGGCCUACCAAGGCGACGAUCCGUAACUGGUCUGAGAGGAUGAUCAGUCACACUGGAACUGAGACACGGUCCAGACUCCUACGGGAGGCAGCAGUGGGGAAUAUUGGACAAUGGGCGAAAGCCUGAUCCAGCCAUGCCGCGUGUGUGAAGAAGGUCUUCGGAUUGUAAAGCACUUUAAGUUGGGAGGAAGGGCAGUAAGUUAAUACCUUGCUGUUUUGACGUUACCAACAGAAUAAGCACCGGCUAACUCCGUG
This 484-nucleotide ribosomal RNA is filed under the name uncultured bacterium. RNAcentral's name for it is "partial 16S ribosomal RNA". It matches the Rfam family "Bacterial small subunit ribosomal RNA", at positions 30 to 507 of the family's 1533-position model. The record is from RNAcentral.